UGCCUGGCGGCGAUAGCGCGGUGGUCCCACCUGACCCCAUGCCGAACUCAGAAGUGAAACGCCGUAGCGCCGAUGGUAGUGUGGGGUCUCCCCAUGCGAGAGUAGGGAACUGCCAGACUU
This 120-nucleotide ribosomal RNA is filed under the name Enterobacteriaceae bacterium bta3-1. Lineage: Bacteria; Pseudomonadati; Pseudomonadota; Gammaproteobacteria; Enterobacterales; Enterobacteriaceae. The record is from RNAcentral.